RNAcentral lists this ribosomal RNA (1952 nucleotides) under human gut metagenome. RNAcentral's name for it is "bacterial LSU rRNA". It matches the Rfam family "Bacterial large subunit ribosomal RNA", at positions 1 to 1985 of the family's 2925-position model. The record is from RNAcentral.
GAAAGUAAACAAGGGCGCAUGGAGGAUGCCUAGGCUCUCGGAGGCGAAGAAGGACGUGAUAAGCUGCGAAAAGUUACGGUAAGGCGCAAAUAGCCCUAGACCCGUAAAUAUCCGAAUGGGGCAACCCGGCCAGCAAUGGCCAUACCGCCAAGCGGUAAGCCAACGCGGGGAACUGAAACAUCUAAGUACCCGCAGGAAAAGAAAAUAACAAUGAUUCCGCCAGUAGUGGCGAGCGAACGCGGAACAGCCCAAACCACCCGUGUUACGGCACGAGUGGGGUAGAAGGAUCCACGCUACGGCAAGAAAUAAGUUAGCAGAAUACGAUGGAAAUCGUAGCCAGAGACGGUGACAGCCCGGUACGCGAAAACGGACAGAAGCCCAGUGGACACCUGAGUAACCCAGGACACGAGAAAUCCGGGGCGAAUCAGCGGGGCCCAUCCCGUAAGGCUAAAUACUCCCGAGAGACCGAUAGCGAACCAGUACUGUGAAGGAAAGGUGAAAAGAACCUCGAACAGAGGAGUGAAACAGACCCUGAAACCAUGCGCCUACAAGCGGUCGGAGCAUGUUAAAAUGUGACGGCGUGCCUUUUGCAUAAUGAACCUACGAGUUACUCUCGCUGGCAAGGUUAAGCGAUUCAGUCGCGCAGCCGAAGCGAAAGCAAGUCCGAACAAGGCGUACAGUCAGCGGGAGUAGACGCGAAACCAAGUGAUCUACCCUUGGUCAGGUUGAAGGUUGGGUAACACCAACUGGAGGACCGCACCGAUAAGCGUUGAAAAGCUUACGGAUGAACUGAGGGUAGGAGUGAAAGGCCAAUCAAACUUGGAGAUAGCUCGUACUCCCCGAAAUGCAUUUAGGUGCAGCCUCGAAGUAAAGUGAUAGAGGUAGAGCGACUGAUAAGAUGCGAGGGCUUCACCGCCUAUCAAGUCUUGACAAACUCCGAAUACUAUCACUUGAUCUUCGGGAGUGAGGGCAUGGGUGCUAAGGUCCAUGUCCGAAAGAGGAACAACUCAGACCACCAGCUAAGGUCCCGAAAUAAGGGCUAAGUUGAAUAAACGAAGUAAAACUGCAAAGACAGCUAGGAUGUUGGCUUGGAAGCAGCCAUUCAUUUAAAGAGUGCGUAACAGCUCACUAGUCGAGGAGUUUUGCAUGGAUAAUAAUCGGGCAUAAGCCCUUUACCGAAGCUGUGGAUGUCGUAAGACAUGGUAGGGGAGCAUUCCGGCGGCGACGAAGGCCGUCCUCGAGGACGACUGGAGCUUUCGGAAAAGCAAAUGUAGGUAUAAGUAACGAUAAAGGGGGCGUGAAACCCCCUCGCCAUAAGACUAAGGAUUCCUGAUCAACGCUAAUCGGAUCAGGGUAAGUCGGGCCCUAAGGCGCAGCCGAACGGCGUAGCCGAUGGAAGAAACGGUAAAGAUUCCGUUACUGGAUAUAGGAGCGAUGUGGAGACGGAGAAGUGACACACCCGCCUGCCGACGGAAGCGCAGGUUAAAGGAAGUAGGUAAACGCCGGGUAGGCAAAUCCGCCUGGCGUGCCGAAGCUGACAGUAUCGAGAGCCCCCGGGCAAUCGAAUAGCGGUGGUAAUCAGGCUCCCAAGAAAAUCCGCUAAGCAUAUUCUAUAUCCACCCGUACCCCAAACGGACACACGUAGUCGGGUAGAAUAUACCAAGGCGCUCGAAAGACUCACGGUUAAGGAACUAGGCAAAUUGACCCUGUAACCUCGGGAAAAAGGGUCCCCAGUAAGAUGGGGCGCAGAGAAUAGGUCCAGGCAACUGUUUAACAAAAACACAGGGCUGUGCAAAAUUUCAAGAUGAAGUAUACAGCCUGACACCUGCCCGGUGCCGGAAGGUUAAGAGGAGAGCUAAUCGCAAGAGAAGGCUUGAAUUGAAGCCCCGGUAAACGGCGGCCGUAACUAUAACGGUCCUAAGGUAGCGAAAUUCCUUGUCGGGUAAGUUCCG